Non-coding RNA from Chlorocebus sabaeus (green monkey), 28892 nucleotides. The record is from RefSeq and is a predicted model, not a curated record. NCBI's taxonomy places the organism in Eukaryota, Metazoa, Chordata, Mammalia, Primates, Cercopithecidae.
CUGGGAGUUGGGAGAUUGCAGUGAGCCAAGAUCGUGCCACUGCACUUCAGUCUGGCUGAAAGAGACCUCUGUCUCAAAAAAAUAAGUUUUCUAAAAAAAGAAAGAACAAAGGGCCUCCCUUGAUGGGCCCUGCUCAUCACAAAGCAUCCAUGGGCUGUUACUCCGGCAGGUCUGCCCAGCAUGAUGCCAGCCUCUGGGAAGAGGUCUCCUGGUCAAUGCCUCUCCCCGAUACACGAAAGAAUGACUGUCAGCAAAGUCAAUGUCUAAUGUAGAUGUGGGUCAUCUGGUCCACCCACUCUCCAUACCUAGCCCAUCCUUAGAGUGACUUUUGGACCUCACUGUCCACUUGAGGGAAGGCUAGUCCACAGGAAGGAGGCCCCAGAGCACCCAGUGUGGCUACGGCACUUGCUACGGGGACCUCUAAGCCCCACUGCUCUCUUAGUCCAUAGGCGUCCUUUGGGGAUUCUUGCCAAUGGGAAGACCCUUGGAUUCCUGAUGUUAGUAUCUGUUUAUUCAGAGAGAGUUGGCCCAUGAGAAUCUCAUUUUCCUUUGAUGAAUCUUGCCAAUACUUUUGAGUAACAACUAGAUGAAUACUUUUGAGUAACAACUAACUGCUCAGAUGGCUUUCUGAGUACAAUGCCAGUUUCAGGAGAAGGGACACUUGUCAUAGUGCUGCUUUGUGAUUUGCAAAUGGAAUGUGUUGGAUUUCUGUUUCUCUUUUUUCUUUAACGAUGCAUGUUACUGCAUCUGCUAAUCUCCCUUAGCCAGUGUUCACCAGGAGGGCUUCCUGGAGGCAGUGGCUUUGGGCAGAGGCAGAGGUUCUUCUCCCAGGGUAUUUUGCAGGCCCUAAAGGGAUUUCAGCCGUUUUACAUUUACAUUAUUUCAAAUGGUAUGGGAUUGCCUGUCUUUUGGUAACCAAUCCUGUCUUGAAGAGAUGCUGGGAAGUAAAGUCAACUGUAUGGCAGGCCCAGCUCCAGGGACAGCCAGAUGAGGCUUGUCACCUGGCCCGUCCCACUUGGUCUCAGGCCUCACACGAGGAGAUGUCCACUCCAGCGAAGACCUGGCGUGGUCCUCACCUGCUCUUCGAGCCACUCUUUGGUACUUGAAGAGAGGAUACCCUUUGUAUGUUCACUUGAUUAGUGGUGAAUAUACAGGGGGAGACUCUUAUUUGCGUAUCAAACUCUGUCGGGGAAGGCGCUCGGACCCUGCUGUCUCCAGGACAAAGCCGUGGAUGUCAGCCCAUCUCAGGUACAGCCUGGUUUCCCUGUCUGGGAACGUGAGCUUGGCUGUGAUCCUGGCCCUUGGGUUCUGCCUUUGCCCUCUGUGCUGGUUCUUCCUGUGGACUCCCUGGAGGCAGCGGGAGAGGAGGGUCCUUUUUGUGUGCACCGAGUUUAAUGGUGGUUUGCUUUUUUAAGGAUAAAUCACACGGAUCUGCCUCUUCUCCAUACCAAGUCAUACCCAGAAGGCUUCCUGCUUCUGGCACUAACCUCGCACCUCUUUGGACACAAGAAUGGGUGGUGGAGGGUGGAGCACGGAGCCGAUGCUGCUGCUCACCUGCUACUCCCCUGACCUGCUACUCCCCCGUGGGCUUCGUCCUUGAGAGAGUGUCAGCCUUGAGGGAAGCACAUGGAUGUCAGGCUGUUCUAAGGCAAGUGACUGGUGGAGCUCCCUGAACCUGCCUGUGCCCUCUGGGACUGUUGCUGGACUCCAAUGGCCAGUCCUCGGAGCACAUUGUCCAGUGGAUUGCACCUGAGUGUGCCUUGGGCAGGUGUGUCUGGUCUUCAGGACUCCUUUGUCCCCAGUGUCUGAUGCUGGGGCCCUCUUUUUAUUUGUUUUGAGGCAGGUACAGGUGACACAUUCUUGGAUCUGGUCAUCUCUAGGACAGCCAGCCUCAGAGGAGGGACAGUGUCUCAGCACUCUCCAGCUCUGAGAAUGCCUGCAGAUGCCCUCUUCUCUGAUGAGUCCAUGUCUUCCAGGGCUGAGCCCUCACACCCCAUGCCCCUUUGGAGAAAGGUGAUGGUUCCAUUGUCCAUGUAGCUUGUGGGUAUUUGAAGCAGGUUCACCCAUGCAUGCUGAGUACAUUGAUAGUUAUGCCCACCUGUUCCGUUGUUUAGAAGCCAAUCUCGCUGCAGGGAGUCCUGGAUGUGCCACCUUUCAGGGCCAUGCCACCACCUGCAAGGUGCAGGCCCAGCUCCAGGGUCAGCCAGAUGAGGCUUGUCACCUGGCCCCUCCCCUUUGGUCUCAGGCCUCACAGGAGGAGAUGUCCACUCCAGCGAAGACCUGGCAUGGUCCUCACCUGCUCUUCGAGCUGCUCUUUGGUACUUGAAGAGAGGAUACCCUUUGUAUGUUCACUUGAUUAAUGGUGAAUAUACAGGGGGAGACUCUUAUUUGCGUAUCAAACUCUGUCGGGGGAGACGCUCGGACCCUGCUGUCUCCAGGACAAAGCCGCGGAUGUCAGCCCCUGUCAGGUACGGCCUGGCUUCCCUGUCUGGGAACGUGAGCUUGGCAGUGAUCCUGGCCCUUGGGUUCUGCCUUUGCCCUCUGUGCUGGUUCUUCCUGUGGACUCCCUGGAGGCAGUGGAAGAGGGGGGUCCUUUUUGUGUGCACCGAGUUUAAUGGUGGUUUGCUUUUUGAAGGAUAAAUCACACAUCGAUCUGACUCUUUUUGGUACCAAGUCAUACCCAGAAGGUUUCCUGUUCCCAGCAUCAGCUUUAUAAGGGAGACCUGGAUGUUGCAUCAUUUCAAGGGGAACACAGACAGGAGGGAUGCUGGAGCACGGAGCACUGGCUCUGUCUGUGCUGGUUUCCAGCCUGGUAGGCCAGCCCAGGAGGACUUCCUAGAGGUGGUAUUGACCUUGGGGAAGGGUGUGAGGUGUGCUCACCAGCGUUUUUUGUUUUUUGUUUUUGGAUGCUUGGGUGUUCAUGAUCCAGCUUGCAGUCCCCAGGCUGAAUCUGCAAGAGUGGUUUGUUUCUAUUUGUCGUUUGUGAUUGCCCAUGAAGGCAGCUCUGGGGAUGAGCCGUGAGAGCCGUCAGCCCCGCACCAGGUAUGUGAAUGUGGGAGGUCAGAGGGCGCCUGCUUCUGCCUCGGUGUCUGUGCCCCGCCUCUGACUGUCGGCUUUCUGCUCACACCUAGGAUGGCGGCCUGAGAAUGGGACUCUGGUUCUGUGUUUGUGGAGACACUCCUUGGGCCGUGUGACUGCCAGCUUUUUACACCCCGACUACCAUGGGGGUCAUGUGGACCCGAAGCCAGCUUCAGGAAGGGCAUUCGCCGCAUCCUUAGCCCAAGGAAAGUGAACGUUCUGGUGAAGAGAGGUGAGCGCCAGCCUGGGUAAUGAGUCACACAACCUGCCACCUAGACCGGCAUCUCCUGCUCCUCUCCCCUUCUCGAGGGAGAGGCACUGUGGGGAAUGGGCCGUAGGUCUGCUUCCUAAGUUACUCGGGGGUAUGGGGGUUUGAGUACUGUUGACCAUGAGCUCUUUCUUAGCCUGUCUUCAUGGACACGAUGCCAGCCUCUGGCAGGGAUGGGGCAAGGGCUGGCAUGGAGAAUGACACUGGUGUUAACGGCUCUGUGAGAUGGAUGAAGGAAUGGUGACCACAGGGCCUUUGCUUUGUCUAAGGCGUAAAUUCAUCCAGUGCCUGGGACCUCGGUGCUGAGUGCAUCCUUAGGAAGACUUCCUGGAGAGGUGCUCACACUGGGAAGGAGAUGGUGGUCCCAGCCCAGGGAGUUCCUGUAGAAAGGGAGAAGCUGAGCUCUGUGUGUGCCCAGGAAGGCCCGUGGGGUAGAUCUCCUUUUCAGGAACAAGCCCUAAUCUGGAGUGAUGCCUGGAAAUGAGGCUGAUUCCGGCGAAGGGGUGCUGGCAUCUUUGGGAUGGAGAGCUGACCUAUGGGCACACGGCUGGCAGGUGGUGUUUGCCACCUGGUCUGCUGAUCCCGCGUCUCCCACCCCCUCCUCCCCCAGGAUGAACCCCGGGAGACGAGGCCGGCCCUGUGAAUGAUAGUGAGGAACCUGCCCAGUGCUAUUGUUUGGUACUUAAAGCGAGGUUGCCCUUUGUAUAUUCGGUUUAUUGACAUGGAAUAUACAAGGGCAAGCUCUCUGUGAGUAUCAAACCUUGUCUUGGACCCAGUCCACACUCAGCAAGGGAUGCGGUAUGUGUGUGCAUGACCGUGUGUAUCCGUUUUGUGUGUGGCAAAUUGCUCACGGGUCCCCACUUCACAGAGAGGACUUCACGGGCACAUGGAUGACUUUAGGGAAGGCAGUGGCCUCUGGGACAUCCCCUCUCCUGGUGCAGUGUGGGUGGGGCCAAAAGCAUGCACGAUGUGUGUGGUCUGGGUCCCUGCUUCCUGAGCGGGCAGUCACCAGCCUGGGCUGAUGGCUGGGGUGGCACUGGUGCGGGGCAGUGGCUUUGUGGUCCCUGCUGUUACUCGGUACGUGAGUGUGCAUGUUCUGCUUGGGGUAUGUGACCUGGUCCACUAACCCUCAGCAUCUAAUUCAUCCCCAGGACCGCGCCUUGAAGACAUACCAAGUCCACCCAAGGCAGUGGCUUUCUUUUCCGUGCUAACCUUUGGUACUUGGAGAGUGGUUAUCCCUGUCCUGUUCGUUUUGCUCAUGUCGAAUCGUACAGGGUCAUCCACUUUUUCAGUAUCAAGAGCGCAGACUCUGGAGCUCGAUUUCCUGUGUUUGGAUCCCACCUCUGACAUUUACUAACCGUCCAACUUUGGGCAAGGAUCUCAUCGUGCUGUGCCCGUUGUCUCCCAUGUCAAAUGGGAAUCACAUCGGCGUCUACUUCGUGGGCUGCUGGGGCUGAAUGAGUUAAGACUUGUACACGGCUCAGAGCAGAGCCCGGUGGUCGGCACUUCGUAGGUGGUAGCCAGGACCCUUGUGUGCUGUGAAACUAUCACUGGGGGUGGUGGUGGUGGUCUUAUGACUAAAAUCUCUCCGUGGGUUUUUGGAACAAUGUCAAGAUAUGGAAGUCAAGUCCUUUGUUGGGUAUGGAACGGACUAUGAAGCCCAGAGCACACACGGUGUUUACAGUGGGGGCUACUGACAGUGUUGAUGCUUGGCAGCUAAGCCAUGCUCACGAUGCUUUCGAAACACAAUGCCACAUGCAGUGGGGGUCAGCAGGGGUGCCGAGAACAUUUGCUCCACUUAAGAGAGACAGUCUCUGGAUUCUUGACCUCAGCCACUAUCCACACUUUGAAGCAAACUCUUGAGCGAGAACGCCAAGCCGAGUGAGAAUUCUAUGGCAUCUUGCUUCCCUGGUGCUUAAAGAGAGGUCAAACAUGGUGCAUGCAUUGUGCAUGCCUGUAUGUGCGUGGUGUGUGUGCAUGAGCGCGUGCGUGACUGGGUUUGCCAGGUAGCAGUCACCAUCCAACCUUGAGCUAAAGACCUGGAGGUGGUGGUGUUCCUGUCCGUGCUGCUGUUUCAUACUUGAGGAGAAAUUAUCCUUGGUGUGUUCGCUUUAUUUAUGAUGAAUCAUACAAGGACAAUUUCUUUUUGAGUAUCAAAUCCUGCUUCGGCAGACUUCCUGGACGCCACGACAAGUUCUGUAAAGGGACGCACGCAUCAGCCCUUCCCAGGGGGCUCACGCCUGGGUGGGGAUGAGGGUGCAUGCAGUUAGUUUGUGGUGGGGACACUUGUGCCCUAACCUCAGAACCCUGGAGGCGGGGCCAUGCUUGGCAAGGGGCCAUGGGACUCCUGGGUGCUGCCAAGGAUUUGCAUUGGCCAUGGGUGUGUGUUGUGGGUGACCCAGCAUUCAAGCGACUUAUCAAAUCCUGCCUCUUGGAGGCACUUCUUGGACAUGAAGCAAACCUUAGAGACAGAUCACUGGGGCCAGACCCCUUUCCCUGCCCGAGAGUGUGACCCCCAAGGCAUGGGCUUGACUCUCAAUGUGUGAAGCUGACCUGCUAAUCCUCAUUGUUUGGACUACCUGAGAAGAACCUUCUGGAAGAGACACCAACUUUGGAGAAGAUGCCCAGCUCUUCUUGAUGGCACAGUUCUUUGGUGCUUAAAGAAUGGCUGUCCGUAGUAUGGUCUCUAUAUUUAUGAUGAUUAAUAUCGGACAACCAUUGUUUUAGUAUCCAAAUUUGCUUCAGAAGUUUUCGAAAGCACAGUGCUGACUUCAGCGAGGGGACAUCGGUGCCUGCCCCACCAUGGAGUGUGACUGUGUCAUUGAUUUAUAAUAAUGAAUCCAGUGAUCUCAGAAGGCAAGCCACCAGUGUGAUUUCCUUGGACAAAUGCUAGCUUUGGGGUGGAGAUGCCAUUUAGGGGUUUGGUGCCAUAUAGUUUUAUUGGAAGAUGUUCACAAUUAUUUCAUCCCUCUUUCUCUUCUUGUUAUUUAAUCUUAACUACGAGGAAUUCCUUGGAGAGAUGCCAGUGUCAAGCAUCUCUCUAGAUAGAUGGUGGACCGGGGCAUCUGGGUCCAGCCUCUCCUAUCUUUAGCCUCCAUUCUGAGCAUGAAAACCUUCCUGUAGGGAAUGCAAACAUUAGUAAAAACUCAGUGCAUUUUCUGUUACUACUACUACUUUUUGGCAACUCCUAAGCAGCUGCCUGUUGGGUGCUAGGAUUAUUCUUGGUGGACAUGGCAUGGCUUUGUGUCUUCCUUGGGAACCACCCCAUCUCAGACAGACUCUCAUGGAAUAAGACAUUGUGUUCGACAGCAUCUCUGGGGUGUGUGUGUGUGUGUGUGUGUGUGUGUGCGCGCGCGCGCGCGCGUGCACGUGCAUAUGAAUUGUUGGCUAGAGUAGUGUUUCUCAAACUUUAAAAAUGCUCCUAAGAUUUUCAUCACCUAGGGAUCUUGUUAAAAAGCAGAUUCUGAUUCAGGGACCAAGAUUCUGCAUUUUUAGCAAGUUCUCAAGUGAUGCUAAUGCCGCCGGUCUGUGGACAACACGUGCAGCGGUUCAGGGCUGGAGACCAGGUGCUUUCCCUGUGAUGUGCGUCCUCUGUCUCCCCACAUGCCAUAAACUGUCCGUCACGGGAGAACGGCCCAGAAGUAAUGUGCCAUGCUUUGGUGUGUGAACAAGGGUUCACCUUCACAUGCCUAAAUAUCACAAGAUUACUUUUCUUUAAAUCAAAUCAUGCCUCAAAAGGGCUUCCCAAAUGCAAGACCUGCUUCAGGGAGGGGCCGCCGGCGUCAAGCUGCUGCAAGAUUGUCGGGUGGGGGUCAACGGCAUGCUGAUUCAUUAUUGAUGUCCUGGGCUCUGGAAUUCUGUGUCCCUUCGUUUCCAAGCAGUCCUCGGGAGGAACUUCCAGGAACUGAGACCAUCUCUGCGGUAGGGACCCUGUCUUCAGGGAUCAGUGACACCCCGUUUUGUUGGAAGCAGAAUUCUUCACGAUGGCUUUGCUUAUCUCUGACAUGCAUUCUGGUGGUUUCUCGUCAUCAAAUCCUGUCUGUCAGGAAUCCCUGGAGGAAGCUUUUAUAGAUCUUUAAUGGAACCUGCCUUAGAAGUCUUUCUGAGCAUGGUUCCAAUUUCAGGGUUUGGACUUUGGUGCCAGGGCCGCCUGAGCCCUGAGACUAAGGUACGGGAAUGGAAGGUUGAUGCCAGCAUCUGUGCUUUCUCUGCAGGAUGUGAACACCUCUCCCUGCCCCCGCUGCAACCCUGGGAUUCAGCUCAUCCUGAGAAGAAUCUUCUGGAAGCAAAGACAACGGUGGGGAAGAGGCCAUGGUUUUCGUUUCAGAACUAUUCAAGGAUAUUUGAGGAGAGGUUAUCCGUGUUAUGUUCGCUUCAUUCAUCAUGAAUAAUACAUGGUUAACCUCUUUUUGAAUAUCAGACUCUGCCUCGGAGGGCCGCCCCCACAGGAGACGUGAGAGUGUGUGCCUUGUGUGAGCUGAGAGCCCGCACCCCGGCUCUGUGCUGUGUGAGGGAGGCUUCCUGAAAGUGAGGCCGGUGGGGGGAAGAGCCCUGGAUUGCUUUGCUGUGUUUGCUGUGAAUGCGAUGUGUUUUUACGAGUUAUGUGAGGUUCCCUCCUCUUUGAAUGCCAACCUGUGCCUUCCCCCAGUGCUGGGGCUUGUGGCUUAGCCACAGGGCUAGGUCCUUUCCUGGGACAGACCCUCUGGACCUAGUGCUCUUCAGGGUGGCUCCCUGGGGGCGAGGACAAGGUCUACCACUGCCCUGGGACACUUGAGGAGAAGUUACUUCUUCCAUGCAGACUCCUCUGAGGACAGCCUGUUUUUUUUAGGGUCGGAUCUGGCCCAGGGUGGCUCCCUGGAUGAAGUCCAGUGCCUCUGUGGGUGUGUGAAGGGCAGGGCGACUUGGGCUCUGUUCCUACUCCUCACCCAGGUCACUGGCCCAGUGCCACUUCCUCCUCAGGUCAGCUUCCCUGAGGCUCUGCCAGCCGACCUGGUGGGAUCUCCUGGUCCACUGCUUGGCAUUCAAAGAUGCUGGCAUGGUGCCAGGUUCCCUUCGCUGCCUCCUGAUGGAGACCACGCAGCUAAUGACUCUUUGGCUCUGUGAUGCUGCCUCAGAGGGCUUCCUGCACGUAGCACCUAGUUUGGGAGGAGAGCACGGACUCCAGCAUGGCCCCUGGUUAUGGAGAAGGGAGGCUGUCCUUGAUCCCCGGUUUGGCUGUGCCUCCACCCAGAUCUCAUUUUGAGUUCCUUCGUGUUGUGGGAGGGUCCUGGUGGGAGGUGACGGAGUCAUGGAAGUGGGUCUUUCCCCUGCUGUUCUCAGGAUAGUGAACGGGUCUCACGAGAGCUGAUGGUUUCGUAAGGCGGGGUUUCCUGCACAACGUCUCUGUUUGCUACUGCCAUCCACGUAAGACCUGACUUGCUUCUCCUUGCCUUCCACCAUGACUGUGAGGCUUCCCCAGCCACGUGGAACUGUAAGUCCAAUCAAACCUCUUUCUUUUGCACAUUGCCUAGUCUUGGAUAUGUCUUUAUCAGCAGCCUGAAAAUGGACUAAUACAAUGGAGGACGGUGGCACCGAGCCCCGCCCCCUUCAGGAUGUGGUCCCUGUGCAGGGCAGCAUCCUGGAGUGGCUGCAAAGCCCCACUGCUCUCUGCCUCGAUGCUUUGUCUUAUCUGAGGUGGCCAGUGCGCGGGGGUCCCUGUGUGGAGUCAGUUCCGUAUGGGUGCCUGCGGGUGCCAGCUUCACAGUAAGAAAACUGUCAGCUUCGCCUGAGGUAUGUGCACAGAGGUGACGCAGGGACAGGAACUUUGUUGAUGAAUGUGUUCCCUGCGCCGCUAACCCGGAGAAUUCGUUCCACCCUCAGGAGAAGCCCUAGAAGUGAUGUAGGCUCUGGCCGGGGGAUGCCGACGUGCUGUGAAUGUCGCGGCACGGGGCUUGGUGAGGAACCGCUGGAGCGCUCUUGCACUUUUCAUGACAAAGACCACACCGUUGGCCUCAUUCCUGCAUGGUGGGAGAAUGUGUGGAGGUGUCUCGCCGCCAGAGAGGAGGCCUGUGCAGCACCAUCACGAGGUACCUGGGGAAGGGUCUGUUGACGAUGCCCAGUGUUCGCUGGCCCAAGCAACCAGUCCUUGGGGGACUUCUGGGCAAGACCGUUUCAGUGCUUAGCCCCACUCUGUGUCCCAGGCAGAGAGGGGCUAAAUUCAUGAUACCUAUUAAAUGGUUCAUUAAUUCUCAUUAUCCUUGCAACCUGCCUGUGAGGGCCCCCCAGAAGGUAGGGCAACUCCAGGGAAAUGUUCUCGCCAUCAGCACGAGGCCAUGGUCCAGGAGGUACUGCUGGAUCAGAGGCCACAGGGCAGAUUGUCAGGCCAGGUCACAGGCUUUCUCUGUCCUUGACCCUCAGCAUCCAGGCUACCUACAAGAGGAGGCAGGGGGACUCCUCUGCCACACCUGGAGAGGUCUCAUCCAUGGCAGGUUCCUUCUACAAUGCUUUCUCUGCUACUCAUCAUCACCUCUUUCCUGGAUAUAAUUCCAAGGAAUUAUUAAAGGAGGCAUUGGUGUCAGCACCUCCCAAAAUACUUGUAAAGAUGGCCCAUGGCAGAGCCUGUGCCUUCAUUAGAAGUAAGCAGUGGCCUCCAGGCUCUGGAGGCCUCGGGGGCAGAGCAGCGUCCAGGCUGACUGUGGGGCCUCGCCUGGGUUUGCGGCUCAUCAUAUUGGACCGCUGUUUUUCAGGACAGACUCCCUGGAGAGGUCCCUCGGCAGGACCCUGACCUGAGGGUCAGGGCACUGUCCAUGAUAAGGGAAUGGAUGGUUGAUCAGAGAACGUACAUUUUAUAAAUGGUGUAUGUCAAUUGAUCCACAGUCCCUACCCAUCCAGUGACUUCUCCUGGAGGCCACAUCAGCUCAGAAGAAGAGGUGGUGGUUUCCUAGGCCAUGCUGUUAUCUGGCACUUGAAUGGACCGUCUCCUUGCCAGGCAGACUAGCUGGAAGGAAGGUAGACUCUGGUGAAGAUGUGGGCCAUCAGCGUCAGCCUUCGGUACUUGAAGAGUGGUUAUCCCUGCUGUGUUCGCUUUAUUUAUGACGAAUCAUACAGGGACAUCCAGUUUUUCAGUAUCAAAUACUGCUUUGGAGGGCUUCCCGGACAGCGUCCCGCCUUCAGGCAGGAGGUGUUGGCUUCCUUCGCCUCCCACCCAAGGUAUGAAUGUGAGCGGGCCAUCGCAGGACACGAGCUUCCUCACGUGCCACAGCCAUGACCAGAAUCGAAUCUCUGAGGAAGAUGGCUGCUUCCAAGGCUGUGAUUUUCUGGAAGGGGCUUUGGUGUCUACACUACAUUACUGGGGGAGGUUGACCAGUGAGAAGCCCAUUCACACAAGACGUCUGUCACCUGCUCCAAGUGACCCUCACCCUUGGUAAGAUGAAUCCCUGGAGACAUGCUGACUUGGUAGUGUUACUGUCAUCAGCCGGACUGACUGAUAGGUAAUUGGUCAUCAUUAUUGCUUUUGUUCCAGGGCAGAAUUUUUGAGUGUCAAAUCUUGCCGGGGAAGGGUUUCUGGAAGUAGCUGUGCCCUCUGGGGAAACUUGGCAUCCACAUCUUUUACAGUUUGUGGAGAGUUAGUUGAGUAGUCUGAGCUUUGUUUCUGAGGCGUCUCCCUCAGCUCACUCUCCUGCCAGAGCUGUGUCCUGCCCAUGGCCAUAAUGGCUGUUGAGAGGGUUGGUGGCUUUGGCCACCAUGAUUUUAUUUAUCAGGUUUUCUCUUUUUACAAAAUCAGAUUCUUUUGUUUUUAGCAUAACUACAUGGUUCAUGAAUUGAUCAAAUAACAAGGAAUGACUUGGUCAGUCCAUAAACAGUGAUGGAGUGCACACUCUAUUCUUGGUGAUUCUGGACCUUAGCAUAGAGCAGAGAACGAAAUCAAGUUCUUGCUCACGUGGACUUUACAUUCUGGUGGAAGAGAUGGAUGAGAACACAUGAAUUAGGAAGUGUAAUUUUGUCCACUGCUAGGUUUUAUGGAGAAAGGGAAAGCAGGUUACAGUGACAGAGGUAAAAGCAGGUGGACCUUUGUGUUAAAUACAGGGGUCUGGAGAGCUCUCUCUGAGGAUGUGGGUGGGAAUGGAGUGGGCUGGACCAGAGGAAGAUCUGGGGUAGGAGCAUUUCAGGAAGAGGGCAAGGCCCAUGGAAAGCCCCCUGACAUCUUUAAGAAAAAGCAAGAAGGCCAGUGGGAUUGAACCGAGCUGCUGGGAGUCACUGGGUCUGAGCUGGGAGAGGCAGGACUCCAGGUUUUAUUCUGAGUGAGAUGGGGGAUUUGGAAGGGUUGUGAGCAGGGGGGAUGCAUGGUCUGUGUUGGAAAGAUCACUCUGACCACAAGGGCAUUGAUAGAGAACCCACCCAGGGCAGUGAUGGGGAACCCACCAGGGGGCUGGUGUGUCUGAGCUGGGCAGUUUCUCCAGGGGCACCUGCAGUGGCAAAAGGGGGCUCUCUCUGGACCUCCCCCAUUCAGUGGGCCCUGCGGGAGCUUGGCUGGCACCUUGAUGUGCUUGAUGGAUAACUCAGUGUGCUCUGUUGAGAAGUCCAAGGCCUUGUUCAGAAACCCUGGGGUCUACACACUGUGGAGUGCUCCUGGCCUGCGACAAGUGGCCUCCCUCUUCUCAUUUCUAAACCUUGCGCGUGUGGAUUCAGGACCAAAAUUUCGACUCCAGGGAAGGGGGACUGUGCCAGCACCACUCCGGGGGAGGUGAGUGGAGGGUUGCCCAAACUCCAGGGUGUUCCUAGAACACCUGUCAGCUGCCUCACUCAUGCUCGGUGUCCACUCUGUCCACAGGAUGGUGGUUGGCAGCCACUCCCCUUGGAGAAGUGGAAGGGGACUCCUUGUCUGUCUUGUCUCUGCUUUUCUGUGGUACUUGAAGAGAAGUUGUUCGUGGUGGAUUCGCUUUACUUAUGACGAAUCAUUCACGGACAACACUUUUUUCAGUACCAAAUGCUACCUCUAAGGACUUCCUGGACACAAUGGCAGCUUCAGGAAACAUAGUCUUUGUGUCAACCAUGUGGAAAAGCCAAGAAUGGAUGGCGGGCCAUGGACAGUGUGCUGACCUAGCUGUAAGUCACCUGGCCCGAUAACUCGAGCGUCCUAUGCACCUAUAGGAGGCCUUCCUGUGGGUCUCGCCAACUCUGGGGAAUCAGCUGUGGUUCUGUCACCAGCGUCACCUCACGAGACUUUGAAGAGAGGCUCCCUGGGCCCCAGGCCGACUUCCAGAAGAGAUGUUGGUGUCAGCACCGUCCAGGGUGUGUGACUGGUUGACCAGAGGGGCGUGCACUGUGUUCACCCUGUGGGCCACCUAGUCACCAACCCUCAGCAUCACUCCCACCCCAGGAAGACUUUCCAGAGCUCCCACCAACUCUGGGGAAGCGGCCAUGGACUUGCUGUGACUGCUUGGUGGACCGGGAUGACACGUACUCUUGCGGGGGUGUGUUUACUUAAAAUGCAAUGAGUCAACCUUGGCCUCCUUGAAGUGUUGACUUCCGAUGUUGGACGCCACAUUGUCUUCUGUUGAGGGACCUGAUGCAGGCCAGUUUUUCUCCUGGGUGUGUGACUGAAUCCUUCUUCCCAGAGCAUGUGCUGCAUUUAUUAGGGCUGUCACCUUGUCCUCUAAUACCCAGCAUCCUGUCUCUCCCUAGAAGGCUCCAUGGAGGUGCUGCGGCUUUGGGAAACAGCCAUGAUUCUCCUGUCGGGAACAAGUGAGCUACACAGAAGCUCCCUGUCUUGCCCAGGAGGACGAACUGCAUCGUUGCUGCUGGGGAGAAGGCAGUGCCCUCAGCACUCCCCUAAGGUAAGUGCGCCUCGGGUGAGCAUGCACUUAAUGUGGGUGUAUGUCACUCGGCUCGGCCCACUACCCAACGCUAUCCCACCCAUUCCUAACAGGACUCCCGAGAGGGGCGGCCACCUCUGCAAGAGAGGCAAUGGAUUACUACUCACCAGUGUUCAUGUGUGGUACUUGGAGAGAGGCUGGCCGUGAUGAAUUCGAUUCAUCAAAGCGAGUCAUACACGGCUCUCCUCUCUUUUAGUGUCAAAUUCUGCCUCGGAGGGCUUCCUGAGCUGCUUCCAAGGUAGGUUUCUGGAUGGCUGAACCCAUGGCAAGCACUUUUCUGAGGAUGCAUGUGACUGACAUACUAACUUUAGAGUCCAGGCUGACCCUCAAACAACUUCCUGGGGCACUACCAGCUUUAGGAAAAUCGAGAGAGGUUGUUGGGAUGCCCUAAUGUUUUAGAAGUUAAGAUUGAAAUAUACAUGGCUGACUUCUUUUUUCAUUCCUAUCAAAUUCAACCUUGCAGUUGAAUCUUGGGCAUCUAGAAGCAUCUUGAAUAGUCAGCCCUCGGGAUACAGAAGAGAAGAGAAACAGGACUCUGUGUGAUCCCUGGUUUACUAACCCACAACAGCCUCACACCCUCCAGAGAAUUCCUUUAAGGGAAUCCCAGGUUUACCAAGGAGGCAGUGCUUAGCCUGCUUUUGCAGACACAUUUGUGUGUGGUUUGCUUCAUUUUUAAUGACUCAUGUGCCACUGACAUCUUUGCAUUAUUAAGUGUUGCCUGCAUGGCCAGCUGAGCACAGGAAGUGGUAUUUCUGUGCGCACUAAUCCUGGGUUGGUGAACCUGGGGUUGGCUGGAGAGCAUGGGUUUGAGCCACCUGGUCCACUCAUCCUCAGGGUCCCAUCCACCCUCAGAGGCCACUCCCAAGCUGCCCAGGCUGUGCAGAAGAUGCAGGAAUGCUGUGAGCAGUGCCACCUCAUGGUACUCGGAGGGAGGUUGUCCGUGGUGAGUUCGCAUUAUUUAAUGAUGCCCAAUACACGGUCGACCUCUUUUCGGUAUCAGAUCUCACCAGGUGUCUUCUUGGACCUGAUGCCGAUUUAGGGGACACCAUACUCAUGUUGGUUCCACACCAGUGCAACUGAACAUGUGUUUGGCCCUGUAACCAAUGGGUAGGUGCUGCUAGCACUCCUAAUCCUCAAUCCGUGCAUUCCUGGGGAAGAAGCACGUGAUCUGUGCUCAAGACCCCUCUGUGACUGAGGAAGUGGUGGUGCCCAGGUUGCUUCCUGGGUUUUGUAUUUUUUUUAAAGAAAAAUAAUAUAUAGUUCUCUUCUCUUUCACUGUUAAAUCUUGUCAUGGAGGAAGGACUUCUUAGACAUGUUGACAAAUUCAGGGAAGGGGCAUUGAUUUCAGCGUUUUUGGGGACUCACUGGAAGGGUGAUUCACCACAUCUGUUGAUCUGGAGGCCACAUCAAAUUUAAGAACAGAGGAUAGUUGCAUUUUCAAUUUCUUGUUUUUCUUUUCAAAAAGGAUAAUUAUUCUACCUUAUUACCAUAUUUAUAAAAAUGACACAUGCUUAUGAUAAAAUUCAAGCGAUGUGGAAAAAUCUAAAUGAAAAAGAGGGAAAAUUGCCCGAUUCUCUGGGCACCCAGAAAUAACCAUUAAGGGCUUUAGAAAUUUCAUACACCUGUCUGAGCAUACAUGCAAACAGAAAAACAAGACAGACACAGAGAAAAUAUGAGAUCACACUGUACCUAAUCAUUUUAUUAAAAAUGCUAACUAUAAUUUUACUUCAAUUUAUCAUAAAGAACAAGCUAAAGGAGAUUGAAAUGAUUGAUAAAUAUUUCUCGCUUCACUGCCAGAGGUAGCAACUCCUAAAAGAUCCCCGUAAAAUUAAGAAAAAUUAGUGUGUAAAAAUUAAGUGGUUGGGAUUGUUACGGUUUUUAACUAUUUCAGUUUCACUCCUAGUUCAGAAAGAUAAAGAAGUCAGCACUUUUAUUCUUUGCUUAUUAUCUCCUGCUUUUUCUCAGUUAUAUAUUUUAAUUUUACAUUAUAAAUAUCUGCAAUUUGUUCUAGAACUAUAAUUCUUGCAAGUGUUUAGCCAUAGUUCUAUAUUUAAAUGAAUUCAUUUCUGACCACAAGGUUUGUUUGUUUGUUUUAACUGAGGUUUCUCCAUUCUUUAGUUUUUAACUUUAAUUUGUCUCUCAAUGGAAUUGAUCUUAUUGUUUUUGUGAGAAUAGCUCAUAGACACUACCCUUGAGUUCUGGUGCAUUUACGAAUAUGUAUCUCUUUCUUUUAUGCGUAAGGGACAGCUUAGCUAGGAAUAAAAGUCUCAGCCUACUUGUUUUUUCUCAGAAAUUUAUAGCUGUUGUCCACUGUCUUUUGCAUUGAGGCUUUCACUAGCUGUCUUAAUGUGGCUUCUCCAUGUAGCCCUUACUUACCUGGACUAUUUUAUGUAGUGAUCUUCACAAACCUUGUUAGAAACACUUUGGGAUACUGUGUUCUGUGAGGUAUUUCAUCUUUGAGAAUGUCUGACCAUUGCUCUUACACCUUUUCUCAUCUGUCCAUUUUUUUUCAUUCUGUUCUAUUUGGCCUUUAAAGAUAUGUAUUGUAUAAUUUCUUUCAGCUUUAGGGAUACAAGCCCCUUUCUUUGUUGAAUCUAUUGACUCUCAUGAUGGUGCUUUUCUUUGUGGUUUUUGUAGCUUUGUGUUGUGAGGUUAUCAUCAGUUGAGCACUAAGGUGUUUCUGUUUUGUUUUAAUCCCUAUGUACAUGAGUUUGCAUUUGGUUCUGCCUGGCACCCCAAGGAAUUUACCAGUUGGUGCCAGUUUUCUAACUCAUUUUGUUGGCUUACGGAUUCCCAGACAUAUGGUUGGCAUAAGUCCUCACCAUAUCUUUGUCCUGAAGCUUUGGUAUCUCACAGGAGACCUCUUUCUAUCCACUCCCUAAAAAUGACAAAUACUCUUAUCAUCCCUGGCUAUUAUAAAAUUUUCUGGUUCCCCUUUCCAUUCCUAGGUCAACUUCUCCUGGACCCACGGUCAUGUCUUUUUAUUCUGCUUAUACUUGAACUGGACUAUAGACUCUUGGAGCCUCUAGCUAGCACAGCACCCCUUAGGUCCCUUAGUAGCAGGUUGCAAACAUGUUGCUCUGAACUAAUUUUUUUCAUUAACACCUGAGGGUUUUGCCUUUCAGUUGUAUGUUUAUUUGGGAAUUGAUUUUGGCUGUGGUUGCAUUUUAUCCAACACUUCUCAACAUUUUUGGAGGAGAGGGUUCCUUACCAGCGCUUGUUGCUGGGAUGGAGCCUUUGAGCUGAAUGAUGGGUGAACUUGGCAUGACAUUCUUGGCUCCCAGUUUCUUCCCUCUGAACUUUGUAAACUUUGCUCCAUUGCUUUCUGGUAUUAAACCACUGCUGUGGACAAGCCUGGGGACAGCUUCUUUCCCCUUAGAUGGAUGAAUUUUUUUUUUCCUGCUUAGAUUUCCUGAUUCUUUCUUCAGUCUUGAAUAUUGGUGACUUUACCGGGUUAUGACUCAAUCGCUAUUUUUAUUCAUUAGUUUUUCUGAAUCAUAGUAUGCCUUCUUGAUGAGUAGAUUUAAUCAUUCCUUUGUUUUGAGGAUUUAUUCAUGUUAUGAGCACUUUUCUACUCCAGUAGUUGGUCUUUUCUUUGGUGAAAUAAUCUGUUUUGUUCAUUUCAUUAUGUGCUGGAGGAGAAGAAAGUCUGUCAUCUGGCCCCUUGCUGCCAUCUCUGUCUGCACAUCAGUCUGUUGUCAUUUGCACUGUGCAUUUGUCUACUUAAAACAAUCCUACCCAGAUGCCCCCUCCUCAGUGUCACCUUCCACCCUGGCAGGAUGCCUUAUGGCAAUGCCCACUUCUGAGAUAGUCGUGGGAGCCAGCACCACUGGCCAGGUAUGUAAAUUUUCUGUUAACAAUGGAAGAUUUUGAAAAACCAUAUAUGCUGUACCAUUAACCUGAAGCAUACAAUCUAUCCUUAGGAAGAAUUCCUGGAAAUUAUGCUCACCUUUGGGGAUGAGGCCAUGAUUCUGAGGUCAGUGCCAUGCCAUGGUCUAAUGAAGUUUGCAUUCAAUGCUAUUUGUUUCUUUAUGAUCAGUAUUGUAAAGUCAAUCUCUUUGUCAUGGACUCAGCUUUGGAGGACUUCCCGGACACAAGGCCUGUGUAAGGAAAGGAUUGUUACUGUCAGCCUUGAUGCUAAUGUGAGAUAAGGGAAUGUAUCCUGCUCUGAUCCAAAUGCCGAGUUUCUGUGUACUUGGCCUCUCCACCAUCAGGCUCCCUGGAAGUGCUUCUCAGGCGUGCACCCACCUUGACUAAGGCGUUGAGGUCUGGAUGGCUACAGGGUCCAGGAUGGGAUGGUUGAAUAUGGGGCGUGUGCUUUCUUUUCAACCCUCUUGCAGUCAGUCUGCUAACCCUCAAUGUUCACUGUCUCCUAGGGCGACUUCCUGGAGGAAGCCAGCUUUGGGGAAGAGGCACUGACACCGGGUCUGUGCUAGUGUGAGGUACUUGAAGAUAGGUUAUCCGUGUUGCCUUCGCUUUAUUUGUGACGAAUCAUACACGGUUGACCUAUUUUUCAGUACCAAAUCUCGCCUUGGAGGGCUUCCUGGAGCAGAAUCUCACUUCAGGGCAGGACCUUGGUGUCAGCUCCUCUCCAGGGUAAGCAAAGGGACCGUUGACCAUAGCUGACCCAGCAGAGAAUGUGGUUUCCUGAGGCCGUGUGCUCCGGCCUUAACCCUGUGUGUGCCCCAUCCUUGGGGAGGUUUCUAGAGAUGGUACCAGCUUUGGGGAAGAAGUGGGGCUUUUCCUCUCAGAGCUACUCUGUGGUACUGGUGGAGAGGUCUUCCAUGAUGCCUUCAAUUUAUUUUUUUACCAAUCCUACAUAGUGGACCCUUUUGAAAGCAUUAAAUCUAGCCUUGAAGCACCCUCGGGUGGUGCCGAGUUUAGGAACUAGAACUGGUGUCUGAAUGCCUGGACGGAUGGCGACGCUGACUGUGUGCACACUCUUCUUGGUGGACCGUGCACCUGCAGGCGUCCUGCUUGCUCACCACGGCGGUUUCCUCCAAAGAGGCAGCAGCUCCCUUGUCAGCUCACUUUGUGUUUGACAAGACGCCGUCUUGCUGUCUUCCCUGCUGCCCUCUCUUCACGUAUCACAGAAGGUGCUCUGCAGACCUCUCUGCUGUGGCACGUCCCUCCCUGAAUGGCUUCCUACAAGAGACGCUAACUGCAAGUAAGGGAUGGAGUACGGCCCGGACCACACAGUGUGUCUCAUGGGUGGUCUGUUGCCACCUUCCUGACUCUCAGAAUCCCGUCCGUCCUCAGGCCUGCUGCUGGGACGCGCUGGAAGUGAGCGCCCAAGUCAGGUACUCGAAUGGAGGUUGUCCAUGGUGUGUUCAUUUUAUUUAUGAUGAGUAUUACAUGGCCAAUCUCCUUUCGGUACUCAAUUCUUCUUGGGAAACGUCACGAGGGGCAAGCACAGCCGGCACCUGCUCAGGGUAAGGAAGUGGAUCACCUCCGCGCGGCAGGCACGCUCUGUGUGACUUACAUCACUUGGCCCAACGUCCCGGCCAUCAUUAGGAGGAAUUCACCGAAAUGAUGCUGACGUUUUAGUUGACAUAGUGGUCUUCUAGUCACGUCCUUGAAGACUCAUUAGUGAAUAAACCACAUUUAGUCAACCUUUUUAGGUGUGAAAUCAUCUUGGCUGUGUGGCACACUUUAGGGAAAGGAGCUCCUGGCUGAAUGGAAGACAUUCACAUUACCCCCUCAAAUACCUUAUCUUCGGGGUGACCCUUGGGAAGCAAGGGGUGGAGGGGGUCUCCUCGGCAGUGAUAAUUGAUGUUGUUUAAAGACGUGUGCGUUUCCGUGGCAUGACUCGGUUAUUCCUACUGCAAGAUGAGAAUCAUUAAUAGCAUUUAUUACUAUCUUAUGUUGCCAGCUGUGUGCCCUUGGAAAAUCCCUUCACCUGUCAGCUCUGUGGGCCUCAGUCUCUUUCUCUGUAAAGCAGGGUUAACAGGGGAGUAGAAGUGUGCUCUUUGUGAAAUGUCUAGACAGCGUCCGGCAUGUGGCUGUAGGAUAAGCAUUGUUUCUGAGGGUGGUCCUUAUAUGGAUGUUACGUCAUCUGCACUCAUUGUCCUCUUGCCGCUAGAAUGGAAGCUCCUUGAGGGCAGAGUCCUUGUUUGUCUUGCCUGGUGCUGUGUCCCCAGGUAUGCACAGUAGGUGUGAUGCUGAAUGAAUGAAUAGGCGGCGUGACCUGUUUUCUUGGUUGAAUUCUCUUUGAGGCCUCCUGGAAUGGAGUGCAUGGAGGACAGUCACCUGAACCUGUGCUGUCCCUGUGACACAGCCCCACCCACCCUCUGAGGAUGCUGCACUGGAAGAGGAGUCGCCAGCCUUCAGGUCAGGUCCUCCCUCAACCCCCUGUGUUGAGGGACCUUGGUAUCCCAGCCCCCCUAGGAUAGGUGACCAGGGGCUGACUCGAGCUUGGGCUGACCCACGCUGUGUGUGCGCAUGGCCUCACCCACACCGCCUGCUCCACGGCUACAGGAGCUGGUCCAUGGCCAACAAUGUUCCGACCACUGCCUGGGGGGCUCCUCGGAGGUAGAGAAAGAGAGAGAGAGAGAGAGCAAGAGGGGAGAGAGGGAGCGAGCAAGCCAGCAAGCCUGCAGCUGGAGUCAGCAGGGAGGCCCCGGAGGCAAUGCCACCUUUGGUGAAGAGGCAUCUCGGUGUGUUCUUGCCUGUGCUGACGUUUGACCCUUGAGCAGAGGUUGCCCUUGGUGAAUUCGCUUUAUUUAUGUUGAAUCACACAAAGGCAACUUUUGUUUGAGUAUCAAAUCCUGCUUGGGAUGGCUUCCGGGACCCAGUGGCAAGCUCAGGGGCAUCUACGCCCCUCCCGUGAGCAAGAAUGGACGGGGUAGACGUGGGUGGUCUGCCCUCUGCAGUCCUCUGCGGUGGAUGAGAACAGAUGUCGAUCAGAGAACACAAGCUUCAUUCAUGAUGGGGGCGGGGCCUGCGGCCCGGGGAGGAUGGCGUUGGUGUCACGUCGGCUUUGGCUCUUACCCUGGACCCUGUCUCUUCAUAUCACCGUGUUGGCUGUGUUGAUCCCGAAGACGUUUCGACCGCACCAAGUUUUUUUCAGAAGAUAUUUGACCUUGCGGAUAAACAAAGCGCUCACCCCCCUCCCCCCUUGGCAGUGUCUGUGACGAGGCUGCAGCCCCAGACCCCUGUCUCGCUCACAAGUGCUGUGUUUUUUUUCUAUGCCUUUCCUUGUCUCUAUUUUUCUCUUUCUAUCCCCCAGCCAAACAUUGGUCCCAAUUUUCUCCUGGGUUAUGAAAUAAAUAGAGGCCAUCAGUAUCUCAUCCCAUUUGUAUUAAAUAAUAGUGAUAAAAAUAAUCAACACAAAAUAAAACUAAAAGCAGCUGAAACGGCACAGCACUAAAUGUGUUCAGUUGAGUACAAAUUGGCAGAAGAAUCCAAUUUUCUUGACAACAUUUCGGCUGCGACAUUUGACCUGGGGAAAUAGAAAGCUGCCGACGUGGCAGCCGCAGAAGGAAAUUGACGGUGGCGGCGGCGAUAAACAGUAAUAUUCGAUGUAGACAAAAGCACAUUGAGGAACCAAAUCUUUAUUCAGAUUUUUAAAUGGAAAGGAAUUGAUCCUAAUGAAAAUGAUUUGGGGAAAAUAACAAGGGAAAUAAAAGAAAUGCAAACAGCUCAACAGCGCAGUCAAGACAGCUAAACAGGGAAUUGGAUUAGUGUAAUGGCAUUCGCUCUGAAAAACACGUUUCUAUGAAAAUCAGUGUUGGUGCAAUUCUUGUGAAGAUGGUUACAUUUGUGUAUUUACAGUGGAGUUGCUGGGGUCAGUAGGAAUCUAGGGUCAAAAAAUGGGAUACAGUCUCUUCCCUUAUGCAGUUGACCUUUCCUUUCUGUGCCAAACCUUCCCGAGAGCUUCCUGGAAAGGUGUGCUGACUUCAGGUGUGACACACUGCUAAGGCGUCCUCCCGGGGAUCUGGGUGCAUGUUGUCCCCAGAGUAUUCACUAUGUAACUGACAGGCAUCACCUGGUCUCCCUCCAUCCCCAUGGAGGGUUCUGGGUGAGACGCUAACUCGAGGGAAGCAGAAGUUCUACCAUCAGUGGGGUCUGGUCUUUCAGGACAGUUGCUUCUGUGAGCCCAGGAAAUCUGAGACAGCUCUCAGUUAAUUUAGAAGGUUUAUUUUGCCAAGGUUGAGGAUACACCCAUAACACAGCCUCAGGACGUCCUGUGGUCAAGGCACAGCUUGGCUUUAUACAUUUUAGGGAGACAUGAGACAUCAUUCAAUAUACGUAAGAAGUACAUUGGUUUGGGGCCUGCAAAGGUGGGAUGACUUGAAGCGAAGGCAGGAAGAAGGAGGGAGCCUCCAGGUCACAGAUGGGUGAUACACAAACAAUUAUAUUCUUUCGCAUUUCUGAUGAGCCUUUCCAAAGGAGGCAAAUCAGAUAUGCAUCUGUCUCAGUGAGCAGAGGGGUGACUUUGAAUGGAAUGAGAGGCAGGUUUAUCCUGAGCAGUUUCCAGCUUGACUUUUCCUUCGUGAUUUUAGGGACCCGAGAUACUUUCCUUUCACACUUCCGAGGCUGUUGCUGAACACACAGGAAUCCAGGAACACUCUGAGGUUUAGUCCUUCCUCAGACUGUGCUGUUGACACCUUACAUGGUUCCAUGCUGGUCCCAAGGACACGCCCUUCGUUGGUGCUGAAUGUCAGUUGGUCAUGGAGGCUGAAAGUCAUUCUGGAGUUGAUGUUUCCAAGAUCGAGCCCUACCUGGAGAAUUUCCAGAAGCAACAGCACCCUCAAGAGGCAGCCUGCAGCCAGAGCCCUCUCCAGGGUAGGUGCCUGAGGGCCGCCCAUGGGACAGCCCCGAUUGUACCCAUGGUGUGUGUCAUCUGCUCCCCUCCUGCCGACUCCAGUGCGUUCCGGGACCACCUUGGGAGGUGAUGCCUGCCCUGGGAAGGAGGUUCUGCUGCAGGUCAGUGCCCAUGGCUCCUGACGGGAAGUCGUCUGUGACAUCUUUUCUUUCUUUACAGCAGGCCCCGCAUGGCAGGCCCCUUGCUCCACUUGUAGCAAGAUGCAGAGGGCUCUCAGCUCAUGCCAACGUCAGGGAAAGGAUUCUGCUGUCGGUCCCACUCCAAAGUGCAUAGAAUGGGUGGUGGGCACAGAAUCCGGACUCUGCUUGUGGCAUCUGUCGUCCGGCCCGAUGCUUGUUGGCUGCCCGCUCCAGGAGGCACCUUCUGGGUGUUCUCUGAGUCUGGGGAAGGUUGGGUUCUGAGGUCAGGGCUGCCCUGACCCUUGUAAAGAGAAGACAUCUGUGACUCUCCUGCUUUCUUCUGCGGCAUUUAUCCCCCCAGUCCCUUAUUUUUAAUGUCUCACUUGCUUUAUGAGGCUAAUCAGAUGGUCAGCCAGCUGUUGAUAACUGUGAAGUCACCCUCUGAGGGAUCCUGGGGUGAUGGCUCUGUGGGCUGGAGAUGGUGCUGGUGAGACCGCGGGUCUGGGAUCAGCGGUGUACCCUGUUGAGCUCCUGCCAAAGGCAUCCUCUGCUGGGAGGGAGGCUCUGUGCUUGUGCAGGGGUCCCUAUAGGGUCACCCCCUCUCAGGGUCUGGGAAUGAAAAGCGGGUGCGAGCAGCCGGGUUUCAUCUUCAUCUUUAGCAAGGUGCCCAAGGAAGGUUGCCGUCUUUUCAGUAUAAGAUCCUACCUGGGUCUUGCACUCACCUUCUGGGAAGAGUCUCCAGAGUCAUUCUGGAAGGGAUUGGAAUGGUUGGACUUGGCAAUUGGGAAUGUCCUUGGAGAGUGUGAGACUCUGGUCUCUGAAUGUCCAGACCUUGUGCUGCCCUUGGGGGAGGGUCUUCCGCAGUCACGGCCGCCUGCAAGCAUCCUCCUUAGUUCGAGCAUCUGAGCCUCUCCAUGGUACUCGGGGAGAGGUUACCCGAGCAACUUUGCAUCUGGACGACGAAUGUUGCUCGGUGAACCCCUUUUCGGUAUCAAAUUCCACCAGGGAGGCCGUCUUGGAGGCGGGGGCACCUCGGGGAAGGACGCCAGCAUCAGCACCAUUCUGGGGUACAGGGAUGGAUGGUCGACCAGUUGGAAAGUAAUUGUUUCUAAUGUACUUCACCUGGUCCACUAGCCGUCCGUAUCCGCUGCAGCCUGUGGGGCCUGCGGGCCGGGGAGCCGAUCGCGCUUCAGCUCAGCGCCUUUCCUGGUACUUGAAGGGAGAUCGACCGUGUUAUAUUCGCUUUAUUGACUUCGAAUAAUACAUGGUUGAUCUUUUCUCAGUAUCAAAUCUCACCUUGGAGGACCCGUUGGAGAUGAAGCCCUUUGGAGGGUGGGAGCGGGACAGGUGCUUUGGAGUCACGGUCUCAGUGGGGACCUGGUCACUGAGGGUGGGCCGGGCGGGGUCUCUUUCCUGUCUCUGUGUCUUCUCACCUUUGGUGUCCCAUCCGUCCUCAGGACAGCUUCCCGGGGGCGACGCUGGCACCACAGGACGCAGCAGCCACAUUCUUGAGCCGAUGGCCCUCUGGGUACCUGAGGAGAGGUUGUCUGUGAUGAGUUCGCUUUUAUUAAUGACGAAUAUAACACAGAUGGCCUGUUUUCAGUACCGCUACCGCCCAGUGGUGUGCGGGCGCCACGCCUGAGGUGGGCCUUUUCAGGGUAUGUGAAUGCAUGGGCUGACGUGACAUUUGUCAUCCUUUCCACUGACCCCCGCCAUCGAAUCAUUUUGGGAGAGCUUUUGGGGGGCCAUGUGGACUUUGGGGAAGAUGCUGGGGUUGUGCACUGGGGUGGGGAGCGGUCAUGAAGCUGAUGAGCAAUGGGUGACGGGGCUCAGUCUGUUUUUCAUGGCCAGUGCCAUCAAGGCAGAGGACUAGGGGGAGCUAGUCCUGCUGGAAGGCAUCCUGCUGCAAGGCCACCCGCCCCUUGCCAGGGUGUUGGGGGCGGCUGCAUGCAUUCCCUGCACCCAGGCUGCUUCUGCUCGUCCAGUGCUAUGAGACCCUGGGUGGGAGCCGGUGCCUUGGGUGGCCAUGUGUGUGUGCUGCUCCCCACAGUGCCUGAGGAGAGGUGGCCUGUGUUGCCUUCACAGAAAUCAUGACACACAAGACACGAUCAGUCUCUCUUCAGUGUCAGAUCCCGCCUGCAUGAUUCCUGCACCUGCUGAUGUCGGGGAGGGCCAGAUGUGCACCCUGGGGGACCCCAGAGGCAUGGCUGGUGGCCGAGCAAGUGCUUGACUUCCACCUGCAGCCCUGUGCUGGCCUCCGCCCUGGAGGCAGGUGGCGGGUGGCAGGGCCUGUCACUGAGGAAGGAGCCUCCUCCCUGGAGUCAGCGCUGCUCAGUGGUACCUGAAAUAGGUUGCCUGUGAGGUGUUCACUUUCUAUAUGCUGAAUAUUAUACAGUCAACCUCUUUCCGAUAUCGAAUCCCACCUUGGAUGCCUUCCUCUUCGCUGCUGACUCCAGGCAGCAGCUGUCUCUGCUCUGGUUGACCCUAUGGACUUUGUGUAGGGCCUGUGUCACCUGGCCUGUUAACUUUCCAGCUCCACCCUGUUCUGGAGGGCUUUGGAAGUGUGACAGAAUGGCAUCCCCGAUUCCAGUGUCAGUGGCAGCACCCGCCAUGCCCUUGCUUCCGGUUGGCACGUCCCCCAGGCUGGGCUGGCCUUCAGCUACCUGAUGCUUAUGUCAUAUUUGCACCCCUGGCCUGCCCAGACUACAGGAAGAUGACCAGAGGCCUGUUUGCAGCUGACCUGGAGACUUAGUGACUCCAGAAUGUGCUGCCCAUGCCCAGGGUCCAGGGCCAAAGGCAAGGAGCACCUCAGGAGUGACCCCAAAGAAUGAGCUACGGCUGCCCUUUACCGCUCGUUGUUGAUCAGUGAGCUCCUGGGCUCGGAAGGUCUUCGUGAGCCUGGCUCCCAUCAUCCCGAUUGAGACAUCGCCGCCUUGGAAGUCGCAGCCCUGUGCCUGCCUUCCCUCUUGUGGGCUUCUCCUCAGGACCGCUCCCCUCUGUGCCCAGCAUGGGAGUGAGGAUCCCCAGCACCGUCCCUCUGGGCUGCUGCUGCCACUCUCCCUCAGCACCCCUGUUUCCCAGCCCCUGGGCCACACCCUGCUGGAGAGGCCGGCCCCACUAGCUAGGCCCCUCUGGUCACUUGGGUCUCCCUCCAGUGCCCCCUCCCUCUGCCAGGGAGAGCAUUUGCAAGUGCAGAGUCCAGCUGUUUACCUGCACUGCCCAGAGCACCUCUGCAGGCCCCUUCCCUUGGGCUUGGUGCCAAGAUGGUCCGAGGACUCCCCAGGCCCCAAGAGUGGCAGCCCCCCUCUUCUUUUGGAGCCACAGCCUAUCCCCCAUGUGUUUCCAUCCUUCGUUCUGGCCCUGCACACGCCCCUCCUUCCGGAGCUGAGUCCUGGGCGGCCCUGCUCUGCCCUCGGCUACCUCCUGUCCAGGCUCCAGCCCUUCCUUCCUUAGAGGGCCACAUCCUUUGCAUUUUCCUUUCCCAGGGGUUCACACUUCCCAAGGGGAUGGAAUGUCUCUUGUUCAGCAAGGUCAUCCCUGAUAACCCUGUAAAAGCAGCUCUUCCCUUGCCUCUUCCCCAUCACUUUGUAACAGUUGCCCCGUUACUGUUUUCUUCCUAGCUUACAGCUCUCUGAAAUUGCUUAAUGUUAAUGUCUACUUUCUCUGUGUCCUAGACUGUGAGAUCUGUCAUUGGCAGAAAUUUCUCUCUCUUUCUCUCUCUCUCUCUCUUAUCCUCUGCUGUGUCCCCAGCACUGAAACAGUAGCAGAACAGUGAGUGUUUGUUGACUGACUACUGGAGUCCCCGAAGACAGGGACUGGAUCAGGUGAAUCCCCAGGCAGGUGCAGGGCACAAAAGCAGGCAGUCAAUAAGAUGUGGUGAUGGAGUACAUGGAUAUGUUAAUCGAGUUUUAGAAAUUCUUCCCAUUUGUUCAAAGCUGUUUGGUUUUCCAGCUUUUUCUACCCUUCCAGGAUGAGGCUGAGAUUUGUUGCAGGAGGCACAAGUCAGCUGGGUCUGGGUUCUCUCUUCCACUUUCCAGAGGGUAGUGGCACCAAAGCCCCAGAGGCAGUGACAAGCCCCGUGUCCCCCUGCAGAUGCUGACUGAGCGCGCCCCUGCCCCUCCAGCAAACGCCCCAGCGCUGAGAGCCAGAUGCUCUGGGGAACUCCAUCUGCAACGGGCUGGAGCGUGGUGUUAGGGCUCAUAUUUUAUGCAUGGGGCUGACUAAAUGGGAACAUUUGGAGAUGAAAAUUGCUGUUAAUGCAUCUACACAUCUUUGGAAUAUAUUAAAUGUGCGUGUGAGGGGGAGAGUGACAUUAGCCUUAUUUAAUAGCUUCAAUGUAACCAUCCCCACACACCGUGGCAUUAACAGACACAGGCCCCCCUCCCCGAGCCUCCCAGGCCACCACUCAGGAAGAGUGCUGGGUGCAUCACCUGCCACUUGAGAAUUACACGUGAGUCCGGCGUCAGCCCGGCAUUCGGCAGCGUGCAUGUUCCCCGCCCAUUUCUAACCCAAACACAGUGACCCUGUGCCAAACUCGAUGCAGAAUUUCAUUAAAAGCAAAAAUGAUUGGUUUAUCUAUUGUUUGCGCAGAAGAAAGAAUAAACAAAGGGCCUUUCGCAUCAGAUAAGCCAAACGAGAACGUGUGCCCCCCAGGUGGGCAGGAUGAAAGUUUUCACGGACCCUUCAGCCAGAGGGCCAGUGACUUGUCCCAUCUCCAGGGCGGUGUGUAAACCCUGCCGCCGGUCCAGGUUCACGAGGUGUGCUCCUUUCUCCAGCGCAAAGGCCCGGUUUAUCCCCACAUGUCUCCUGGAGGUGGUUAGGAAAUUGAACAACCUGGACCUCCAUUCCCAUUUCCUUGUUGUUUUCAGCCAGAGAUAAGAGGAGAAGUAAUAGCUGUCCUAAAGGGGUGCUUGCCUUGGUCCUGGGCCCCAUCAGCUGCUGUGAGUGGACAGUUUCUGUUCCACAGUCAAGGAAAUGGAGCACAGAGAGGUUGAGUGACUCAACCAAGGUCACCCAGCUGGAGGUGGGGCAGGGUCUGGCUCCAGGCUGUGUGCUCUUACCCUGCUUGCAAGGGCUUUAGGAAUAGCCCCUGUGUCCUGGAAGACAGAUUGCUCAUCAAAUGGGCCUCUUUUCUUGGUAUUAUAUGGUGAAGUAGGCUCACUUUCCCCAAGACUUAGCUUGCCAGAACGUUCAUGUUUUUUUUCUCUGUACCCACCCCUCGUCUCUCCAACAUGGUGCCAUCACCCAUGAAAUGGGAUGCUUUCGUGUGUGUCUGGCCUGGGGAGAGGGCUGCUUGCUUUGUCAGAAGACUCAAAGCAUGAUGGGCAUCGAAAAACCAAAGACCUUUGUUGACCUGUGUUUUUCACUCUGCUUGAUGGUAAUUGAGGGCUGUAUUCACUGCCUCGGUUGCAUGGAGUGAACAAGACCUAGCGAAGGUGACGGGUGCCCUGAGACCAUCUGGUUGAUCUCUCCUGGGCAGGACCAGGUGCUCCCCUCACUGCCCCCACCCUUGUCUGUGUACCACUACUCUGCACAAACACGGCGGCUGGUGCAGUCCUGGAGACCCACUUAGCUCACGGUUGUCAGGGGUCCUCAAGGAUUCAGAGAACCCCCGAACAUCAAGGCUGCUCCCUUCUUGUCCUGCCUCUCUGCUCACACCCUUGGACAGGUAAGAAAACUGAGGUCCACAGAGGGGAGGGUGCACUGCUGUGGCUUUUGUUCUGAGCACUGUCUCCCCAACUUUGGGGUUGGGGCUCCGGGGUCAAGACCCACUUCUGAUGAACAAGCAGCUUCCUUCUUUGUAAAAAUUGAGGCGAUCCAAACCAAGAAGGGCUGCAAAAUCACCAAGUUGGGACCUCAAUACCCACGGGGCUGGGGUUUCAGCCACCCUGUGGCAGAGCUUUUAGAAUCAGGGCCCUUGGCUCAGCAGUGCUGGCUCAUAGUAGGUGCUUAGUUCAUGCCUGUCUCCUUGGAUGAAAUCUGACCACAGACACCAGUGCAAAGCAGGUGUUCAACACAGGAAGGUGUACUGAACCCGAUCUCUCUAUCACCAGGAGGAAGCACACAGGAGGCACGCAGAGCACGUUUGUGGAAUGAAUAAAUAAAAACGUAUCUUUGAGGGAAUAAAGAAGAAAAAAACAAAGAAGAAUCUGGGGAAGAUGGGCAUAAAUCUCCACCAAGUGCUGCCAAGGCUUCCCAACCGAGGCUUCUGAAAAGACCCUGUGGAGAGUCUCAGUCCCCGCUUUGCCACCAUCUCCUCCUCCGAUCUCCUUUCCUGCUUCAAAAGACUCCAGAAUCUUCCCGGUUCUCAGAGAAGGCUGAAUCCACCUAUGACCUAGUGGGUGCAUCCUGUGCCAAAAUUGUUUACCUUCUGGUCCCCGGAGCCAUGGGUCACGACCUGGUCCUCACGUAGGCCCGCUCCUCAGCAGCCCCCACCUCGCUGGGGAAGAAGGAGAGCCCUGGGGGUGUGGAGAAGCCCCCGCAUCCCUCACAUCUUACAGAAUCUCCAUUGAGUCCCUGGGGACACAUCCCUCAGCAGGACACGAACAGUCUUUGCCGCGGCAUGGGGAGGGCUGUGCUGGGGACGAGCGCCCAGUGGCCAUGGACUAAGUGAAGGAGCAGAUGACCAUGCUCUUCUCCCAGCUGGACGGCGAGGCCGGGCAGGAACGCAGAAUUUUUGCUCUUCGUUUUCAAACACUUUGCUGUCGAGCUAUUUGAAUAAUAAAUACACAUUAUAAAAAUGUAAA